GGAAAAUACUGCAUCAGAUAGUAUGAGAUCUAGAAACAAGCUCUUGGUCAGGCUGGAGGUUUGUUGGUGUUGCUUGCAAGUCAUUCCACCCUUCUUUGCUCCAGUUUCUCAGAGAUUUGGCCUCACAGGGCCUCUGCAAGCCCCAAGUGGUUGGAGGGAAGUUGGAUAAUUGCUUAACAUUUUGGCAGCUGGUGGCUGGCCCGGCUCAGUAGCAAUGAGAACCAGCAGUGGUGGUGGUGGUGGACCCACCAGCUAGCAGUCACUGAAUAAGGGUCAGACUCAUGGACCUCCACAGCCAUGUCCUUGGUGAGUUGCAGCCGGCCCCACAGGGUUGGGAGCCAUCCCAAAGGGAGCUGGCCUGAAAGAGCCCUCAGCAGGACCUUGACUCGUCUCUCCACUUCUGUGGACAGGUGGAAGGAGCUUUCCAAGUGCAACAACUAUCCCAGGAAGAGGUGUCUACUGGACAUGCAUCUUGUGCAUGUGGAGAGAAAUGGCUUGGCCUUUGCACACAACAUCCGUAUUUCUGUCUGGCAGGUGACCGCUGCAUUACUAGUGGAAAAUAUCUGAAGCAGUUUAACAAAUGGCUGCUAAGAGACCUUCUGAGGAGGACUGGACCUUUAUGAAGCUGCCUUUUGCAAAAGUAUGAUGAAAACAAUUUAUAUCUACUUUCAUAUUAUGUAUGUAUAGUUGUGCUUUAAGGGCUUUGAAAUGAUCCACAUUAUUUUCAGUCCUGGUGGAAUUGUAAUCAAAAACCUAUAGCAUACGUUUAUUUGAAAAAGUUAUACCAGAAUAAUUGUUACUGUGACUCACAGAUGAUUCCAGCGUAAGUCAGUUUUUUUCCAUAUACUCACUCUCAUUUUAUUCAUUUUUUUGCUUUUGCCUUCU
Long non-coding RNA from Oxyura jamaicensis (ruddy duck), 885 nucleotides. RefSeq lists it as uncharacterized. The transcript has 3 exons. The record is from RefSeq and is a predicted model, not a curated record. Lineage: Eukaryota; Metazoa; Chordata; Aves; Anseriformes; Anatidae.